CAGAGCUUUUCCGCUGUCUCUCCUACUACUGAGCUCUCGCCUGAACUCGCGGAACAGUGACCUUCUCCGAGUGGUCCAGCACACUUAUAUACUAGAGAUGGCAGGUGGUGCAUUCGCUGGCUGGUGGACUAAGGUGGCCCCCUACUACACCAAAGCAUACCAGGAGAUGUGGGUUGGUGUAGGAAUCAUGACUUUCAUGUACUACAAACUUUCAUAUGGAGGAAAGAAGAAAGCAGUGCAGUCAAGUAAGUAUAAGCAGGUUUAAAUUUUUUUUUUUAAAUGUCUACAGGGUGUCUGCGGGUCCUUAAAAAAAUCUUAAAUUAGGCCUUUAGGCCCUGUUUACACUAGUGCGUUUUCGUUUUUGAAUGAAAACGAUCCUUGUCUACACUGACUGUUUCAGAAACGAUCUCCGUUUACACUACACAACCUAAAACAUGUCACGUGACCAUUCAUGCAGGUACAGCCAUAGAUAUGAAUAGGUAGAUUCCCUAUUAUUUAAAUCGCGGAUGGGUCUACGUGCUUCGAGGGUCGAAAACACCGGAGUAUUAUAAAUGAUAGGUGUAAUCGUAGCUAAAGUUCUAGUGUAAGCCUUAAAUUCAGAUUCGAUUGGUCUUAAAUAUUUUUGGUCACAUUACCGCUAAAAUUUUACGUUUACAAUCAUUGGACAGACCAAAUAUUUUUUUUUCCCUCGCAGUAGCAAAAUACAAGUCGAACUACCUUCUUAAUAUUCUCAAUAAUAAUAAUAAUAAUUAUAAUAAUAAUAAUUAAUUAAUAAAUAAAUGAAAACAAAGGAAUCAUCGAAACGCGAGAAUGAAUCGUCUAAUUUUAUUAGCCUACAUUCAGUGUAAAUGGCCCUUAAUAACGGAAGGUGUGUUUCUGGUAUCAAGGUCACGCUGUCGAGGCUCGCUCUGUUUGUGUUAUUAUGAGAGACUUCAGAAUGAGCUUAACAGCACACAGAAAGUAACUCAGAAGAAACACACUGAGGUGAAAAUUCAAAAUGUUUAGUUUAUUCAUAACAUGAUAUAGUUAAGUAACAUACCGUGACAAGUGAGCUUUUUUGCUAAAUAUUCUUUCGACGCAAAAAAGAUUCAAAACAUCUACAGAGUGCACGCAUUACGUGAAGUCUAGUGCGCGUGCGCAUUUACAGUGCAUGAUUCAGUCUAUUAAAAUACAUUCAGAAUGAUCACAAAUUCAAGACAAUUAGGGCAGAAAAUGUAUAUAUUUAUACCACUUCGUAUAGUUAAUCAAUUUCACAUGAAGAGUCCGUUUUUUUCUCUCCAAAAAUUACCAUUAUUACAAAUGUGAUGGGGUUUUUUUAACAGUUGAAUAAACUAGAAUGUAAUUAAGAGACUUACGGUUUAGACACCAUAUUGCCUAUUUUUGCACUAUUUCGACAACAAAAAUAAUUCCAAACAAAGCCACAGCGCUGUUUUGCGUCUCUGAGCAACAUGCCGGUGUUUCGUUCCUGAAUGAAUCAACUGUUUAAAUGAUUCAGUUCAAUAGCAAUGACUCGCUCAUUAACAGUGACUUGCUGCCACCCACUGGCGCUUUUAAUUUCACAUUUAAAGUACCUUUUUAUUAUUUAAAUAAAAUCAAAUACCAGUAUUCAACGUUUUAUGUUUAAUGUGUAAAAACAUUAUUUAUGCAUUUGUAAAAAUAGGCCUUUAUAAAGGUAAAUAAAAAUAUGCAGAUUUAAGUAUGUAAAAGCUGAUAGAACACUGAUGAAAAUAUUGCUUCAGAAUAAAUUGUUUCCACCACCAAAAAUCUUGAUGCGGUGCUUUUGUGGGGAUAUUUUGCAUGGAAUAUUGUCUUCUGAUAUGAAAAGUUCACUGUAUAUCUUAGUUAUAAAUAUAAUUUAUUACAGUGAUAUUUUGUUUUCUUUUUAUGUUAAACACAUUAAAUAUUACAUAUAUGUAUUUAAUAUAAUGUGUAUAUCCAUUACAGGUUUAGGUCUUAAAUUUCAUAUAAGGUGGUAUUAAAAAGGUCUUAAAAAGUCUUAAAUUUAACAUCUUCAUGUCUGUAGAAACCCUGGUCUGGGAGAGAGGCUUUCAGACUUUGCUCCACAUGGGAGUUUUAGGUGUUAGGUAGAAAAACAUUUAGAGAAAACAGGUUAAAAAAUGUACAAAAUAAAACACAAAAAUAAGAUUCAUAAAUU
Cyprinus carpio carpio is the source of this 2155-nucleotide long non-coding RNA. The record is from Ensembl. NCBI's taxonomy places the organism in Eukaryota, Metazoa, Chordata, Actinopteri, Cypriniformes, Cyprinidae.